GCGAAGAAUGGUGCUUACUCACCGUCCCGAGCUCUGCUGGGGAAGACUGCAAAAGGAUUGUACCCUGAGAAAGAGAUGGUCAGCCGGAAGGUGACGUGUCAGGCAACGAGUAUUCCGGCGGAUAGGGUUCCUGACAUGGGGAAGAGACAGACAAUGAACCUGCUGCUGUUGGGUGCCUUGUCUCUGCCUACUGCAGCGAUGCUGAUUCCAUAUGGUGCAUUCUUUGUUCCACCAGGUACAGGAGGUGGUGGUGGUGGAAUCGUAGCUAAAGAUGCCUUGGGAAAUGACAUUGUUGUAGCUGCAUGGCUGAAGACUCACGGGCCUGGUGACAGAACACUUGCCCAAGGGCUAAGGGGAGAUCCUACUUACCUUGUUGU
Molecule: unclassified non-coding RNA, 377 nt
Filed under: Hevea brasiliensis (rubber tree)
Lineage: Eukaryota; Viridiplantae; Streptophyta; Magnoliopsida; Malpighiales; Euphorbiaceae
Source: RNAcentral